RNAcentral lists this ribosomal RNA (468 nucleotides) under uncultured bacterium. RNAcentral's name for it is "partial 16S ribosomal RNA". It matches the Rfam family "Bacterial small subunit ribosomal RNA", at positions 28 to 507 of the family's 1533-position model. The record is from RNAcentral.
GACGAACGCUGGCGGCGUGCUUAACACAUGCAAGUCGAACGGAAAGGCCCUGCUUUUGUGGGGUGCUCGAGUGGCGAACGGGUGAGUAACACGUGAGUAACCUGCCCUUGUCUUUGGGAUAACUUCAGGAAACUGGGGCUAAUACCGGAUAGGAGCUCCUGCUGCAUGGUGGGGGUUGGAAAGUUUCGGCGGUUGGGGAUGGACUCGCGGCUUAUCAGCUUGUUGGUGGGGUAGUGGCUUACCAAGGCUUUGACGGGUAGCCGGCCUGGGAGGGUGACCGGCCACAUUGGGACUGAGAUACGGCCCAGACUCCUACGGGAGGCAGCAGUGGGGAAUAUUGCACAAUGGGCGGAAGCCUGAUGCAGCAACGCCGCGUGCGGGAUGACGUCCUUCGGGUUGUAAACCGCUUUCGCCUGUGACGAAGCGUGAGUGACGGUAAUGGGUAAAGAAGCACCGGCUAACUACGUG